CGGGCCAAGGGGUAAAAGGGAAACAGGUGCGAAUCCUGUACGAUCUCGUCACCGUGUUGCGGAGCCGAUUGUCAUAUGUCACUGGGAAACCGGGAAGACGACAAAAGGCGAUGAUGCUGAGCCGGGAAACCUGCCUUUUGCGAA
Molecule: non-coding RNA, 144 nt
Filed under: bovine gut metagenome
Source: RNAcentral